Molecule: ribosomal RNA, 141 nt
Filed under: uncultured bacterium
Lineage: Bacteria
Description: partial 16S rRNA
Rfam family: Bacterial small subunit ribosomal RNA
Source: RNAcentral
UGGGGAAUUUUCCGCAAUGGGCGAAAGCCUGACGGGGCAAUGCCGCGUGGAGGUGGAAGGCCUACGGGUCGUCAACUUCUUUUCUCGGAGAAGAAACAAUGACGGUAUCUGAGGAAUAAGCAUCGGCUAACUCUGUGCCGG